UGGCAAUAAAUGAAGGAAGGUCGGCCCGGA
RNAcentral lists this non-coding RNA (30 nucleotides) under Homo sapiens (human). The record is from RNAcentral. Lineage: Eukaryota; Metazoa; Chordata; Mammalia; Primates; Hominidae.